Long non-coding RNA from Osmerus eperlanus (European smelt), 864 nucleotides. RefSeq lists it as uncharacterized. The transcript has 2 exons. The record is from RefSeq and is a predicted model, not a curated record. Lineage: Eukaryota; Metazoa; Chordata; Actinopteri; Osmeriformes; Osmeridae.
AUGGAACAGACUGUGUUGAUGAAUUGUUAAUAAGUUUGUCAUUCACAAAAACGGAAAGGAAUUUCCGCUCCGGAUCAAGUGAGUGCAAACAAACAGAAGCUGCUCUGCAGGGGAAGGAAGGAGACGGGCAUUACUUAGAACAGCUUAGUCAUGUAGUCCUAUGGCCCACCAAUGAAGACAGCUGGAGACAAGUGAAGAUCCAAACAAGGCCACAAAGACAAAACACAGAGCAUGUCAGGCUCCUGACACAUGGGUGUUGUCUGAUACUAACCAACUCUGUUAUCACAACAGUGAUGUAAUCUGUGUCAAAGGCAAACAGGGACAAGACAUAUUGAGUACCCACAUAGACAUGUAAGCAAAUAUGUAUUGGACACAAAGUGAUAUGCAGGUUUCCGUGGACACACACAUCCGUUCCUCAGUCAUCACAGAACAAAGAGGAUGGAAGUUUCAGAGACAUUAGCAUGACACAGACAUUUAAUUGUUUUACAUUUUAUAGUAGUGGUUUGAAUUAUAUUUUAUUUUAUAUUUUAUUUUAUUUUAUUGUAUAUUUAAUUAUAUUCUAAUCCCACUUAGUACUGCUAGUUUAUGUACCCUUAGUAUAGAUAGUCCACAUAUUAAAAUUUUAGGUAUAUGUUUAUUGUAUGCACCUUCCUGCCAAAGCAAAUUCCUUGUCUGUGCAAACUUUCAUGGCGAAUAAAUCCCAUUCUGAUUCUGAUUCUGAUUAUUUAGAUACUGUUGUACAUUUUCAAAAUGUUAUAUUUUUCAAAAUUGUAUUACUACUUAUAUGUUUACUGUAUGCACCUUCCUGCCAUAGUAAAUUCCUUGUUUGUGCAACUUACUUGGCGAAUAAAGCUGAUUCUGACA